Molecule: transfer RNA, 71 nt
Filed under: Sphaerodactylus townsendi
Lineage: Eukaryota; Metazoa; Chordata; Lepidosauria; Squamata; Sphaerodactylidae
Description: tRNA-Thr
Source: RNAcentral
GAGCUCCAUACACUACAUGGUAGAGCAUCUGCUUUGUAUGUAGAAGGCCCCAGAUUCAAUCCCUGGGUCCA